ACUACGGGAGGCAGCAGUGGGGAAUAUUGCACAAUGGGGGAAACCCUGAUGCAGCGACGCCGCGUGAGUGCAGAAGUAUUUCGGUACGUAAAGCUCUAUCAGCAGGGAAGAAAAUGACGGUACCUGACUAAGAAGCCCCGGCUAACUACGUGCCAGCAGCCGCGGUAAUACGUAGGGGGCAAGCGUUAUCCGGAUUUACUGGGUGGAAAGGGAGCGUAGACGGCAGCGCAAGUCUGAAGUGAAUUCCCAGGGAUUAACCAUGGAACUGCUUUGGAAACUGUGAAGCUGGAGGGCAGGAGAGGUAAGCGGAAUUCCUAGUGUAGCGGUGAAAUGAGUAGAUAUUAGGAGGAACACCAGUGGCGAAGGCGGCUUACUGGACUGUAACGGACGUUGAGGCUCGAAAGCGUGGGGAGCAAACAGGAUUAGAUACCCCAGUAGUC
RNAcentral lists this ribosomal RNA (440 nucleotides) under uncultured bacterium. RNAcentral describes it as "partial 16S ribosomal RNA". It matches the Rfam family "Bacterial small subunit ribosomal RNA", at positions 338 to 795 of the family's 1533-position model. The record is from RNAcentral.